AUUGAACGCUGGCGGCAGGCCUAACACAUGCAAGUCGAACGGUAGCACAGAGAGCUUGCUCUCGGGUGACGAGUGGCGGACGGGUGAGUAACGUCUGGGAAACUGCCCGAUGGAGGGGGAUAACUACUGGAAACGGUAGCUAAUACCGCAUAACGUCGCAAGACCAAAGUGGGGGACCUUCGGGCCCCCCACCAUCGGAUGUGCCCAGAUGGGAUUAGCUAGUAGGUGGGGUAAUGGCUCACCUAGGCGACGAUCCCUAGCUGGUCUGAGAGGAUGACCAGCCACACUGGAACUGAGACACGGUCCAGACUCCUACGGGAGGCAGCAGUGGGGAAUAUUGCACAAUGGGCGCAAGCCUGAUGCAGCCAUGCCGCGUGUAUGAAGAAGGCCUUCGGGUUGUAAAGUACUUUCAGCGGGGAGGAAGGCGGUGAAGUUAAUAGCUUCACCGAUUGACGUUACCCGCAGAAGAAGCACCGGCUAACUCCGUGCCAGCCGCCGCGGUAA
RNAcentral lists this ribosomal RNA (504 nucleotides) under uncultured bacterium. RNAcentral's name for it is "partial 16S ribosomal RNA". It matches the Rfam family "Bacterial small subunit ribosomal RNA", at positions 29 to 523 of the family's 1533-position model. The record is from RNAcentral.